This 415-nucleotide ribosomal RNA is filed under the name uncultured prokaryote. RNAcentral's name for it is "bacterial SSU rRNA". It matches the Rfam family "Bacterial small subunit ribosomal RNA", at positions 505 to 918 of the family's 1533-position model. The record is from RNAcentral.
GUGUCAGCCGCCGCGGUAAGACGGAGGGGGCUAGCGUUGUUCGGAAUUACUGGGCGUAAAGCGCGCGUAGGCGGCUUGCCAAGUUGGGGGUGAAAGCCCGGGGCUCAACUCCGGAAUUGCCUUCAAAACUAGCAGGCUAGAGUCCGGGAGAGGAGAGUGGAAUACCCAGUGUAGAGGUGAAAUUCGUAGAUAUUGGGUGGAACACCGGUGGCGAAGGCGACUCUCUGGUCCGGAACUGACGCUGAGGCGCGAAAGCGUGGGGAGCAAACAGGAUUAGAUACCCUGGUAGUCCACGCCGUAAACGAUGAGUGCCAGAUGUUGGGGGGAUUUUUCCCUUCAGUGUCGCAGUUAACGCAUUAAGCACUCCGCCUGGGGAGUACGGCCGCAAGGUUAAAACUCAAAGGAAUUGACGGGG